ACUCCUACGGGAGGCAGCAGUGGGGAACUAUUGCACAAUGGGCGCAAGCCUGAUGCAGCAACGCCGUGUGAGUGAAGAAGGUUUUCGGAUCGUAAAACUCUGUCCUUAAGGGAAGAAAAAAUGACGGUACCUUAAGGAGGAACGCCCCGGCUAACUACGUGCCAGCAGCCGCGGUAAUACGUAGGGGGCAAGCGUUAUCCGGAAUCACUGGGCGUAAAGGGUGCGUAGGCGGCUUGACAAGCCAGGGGUGAAAGGCAUUGGCUCAACCAAUGUAAGCCCUUUGGAAACUGUUAAGCUUGAGUGCAGGAGAGGUAAGUGGAAUUCCUAGUGUAGAGGUGAAAUUCGUAGAUAUUAGGAGGAACACCAGUGGCGAAGGCGACUUACUGGAACUGUAACUGACGCUGAUGCACGAAAGGCUGGGUAGCGAACAGGAUUAGAUACCCUGGUAGCACAGAG
Molecule: ribosomal RNA, 456 nt
Filed under: uncultured bacterium
Lineage: Bacteria
Description: bacterial SSU rRNA
Rfam family: Bacterial small subunit ribosomal RNA
Source: RNAcentral